GCUUGAACAUGCCAAGUGUACUGGCAUCUCAGCUGUUCUUCUCCAUCAUUUGACGGAUGAGCAUGAGUGGCCUCCCCCGAUUCAAUAUUAUGAGUAAAGUCAUGGGCCAUUGAGCCAAGAGGAGAGGAAUUCACCAUGGCUUAACAAGAAAAAAACACUUUAGUACCCUUAAAGCCCUCAGAGUGAUUGUCCUUGACAACCACCUUCCAUCAAAGACGCAUACUAUCUAGUCUACAGACUAAACCGUGCAUGGAACAAUAGAAGAGGAUGGCAAUAUUCCUCAGUAAACGCAGUGAAAGAAAAAAGACCUAUCCAUACAAAGAGUCGCUGAAGAAACUGAUCUCCAUGUGUCACUUGAC
Molecule: long non-coding RNA, 359 nt
Organism: Mya arenaria
Lineage: Eukaryota; Metazoa; Mollusca; Bivalvia; Myida; Myidae
Exons: 3
Source: RefSeq, a predicted model, not a curated record